CGUCUAUAUACGUAUAGCAUAUCAAUAAGCGGAGGAAAAGAAACUAACUAGGAUUCCCUCAGUAACGGCGAGUGAAGCGGGAAGAGCUCAAAUUUGAAAUCUUCAAGGUUCUACCUUGACGAAUUGUAGUUUAAAGAAGUGUUUUCUGUUGGAUGUUUUGGUAAAAGUUCUUUGGAAUAGGACAUCAUAGAGGGUGAGAAUCCCGUAUUUGACCAUUAUUUCCAACUUUGUGAUACACUUUCAAAGAGUCGGAUUGUUUGGGAAUGCAGUCCAAAAUGGGUGGUAAAUUUCAUCUAAAGCUAAAUACUGGCGAGAGACCGAUAGCGAACAAGUACCGUGAGGGAAAGAUGAAAAGAACUUUGAAAAGAGAGUUAAACAGUACGUGAAAUUGUCAAAAGGGAAGCGUUUGACACCAGUGUUGUUUUCUCGAAAAUCAAUUAAAAAUGGCGGAUUUUGUGUUGUAUUGACUUUAUCAGCUUUCUGCACUUUUUUCCUGUCUUUUUUAAUGCACUUUUCGUUUAACAAGUCAACAUCAAUUUCUUUUGUUGUAAAAGAGUCAUUGGAAGGUGGCUUUCUUUUCGGAGAAAGUGUUUAUAGCCUUUGACUUCUGCAAUCGGAGAGAUUGAGGUCUGCAGCGUAGAUCCUUCGGGGUUAGAUACAUUUGUGCUAAGUUAUAGCCUUUCAUAGACAACUUGUUGACUAUGAUCAGUCAUGUAGCUUACUCGCUUAUGCUAUUUUACCUACGCUUAGGAUGUUGACGAUCAGCUGAGCGCG
Molecule: ribosomal RNA, 774 nt
Filed under: uncultured Neocallimastigales
Lineage: Eukaryota; Fungi; Neocallimastigomycota; Neocallimastigomycetes; Neocallimastigales
Description: partial large subunit ribosomal RNA
Rfam family: Eukaryotic large subunit ribosomal RNA
Source: RNAcentral